RNAcentral lists this ribosomal RNA (1243 nucleotides) under metagenome. RNAcentral describes it as "bacterial LSU rRNA". It matches the Rfam family "Bacterial large subunit ribosomal RNA", at positions 1564 to 2817 of the family's 2925-position model. The record is from RNAcentral.
UGAGUACGAGAUGCUACGGCAUCGAAGCAGUCUAUGUCAUACUUCCAAGAAAAGCUUGCACUGUCAGAAACAGAUAAUGCCUGUACCAUAACCGACACAGGUGGGUAGGUAGAGUAUACUAAGGGGCGCGAGAUAACUCUCUCUAAGGAACUCGGCAAAAUGACUCCGUAACUUCGGGAGAAGGAGUGCCUUAUUUUUAAGGUUGCAAUAACAAGAUCCAAGCAACUGUUUACCAAAAACACAGGUCUCCGCUAAGUCGUAAGACGAUGUAUGGGGGCUGACGCCUGCCCAGUGCCAGAAGGUUAAAGAAGUCGGUUAGCAUUCGCGAAGCUGGUAACUGAAGCCCUGGUGAACGGCGGCCGUAACUAUAACGGUCCUAAGGUAGCGAAAUUCCUUGUCGGGUAAGUUCCGACCCGCACGAAAGGCGUAAUGAUUUGGAUACUGUCUCGGAGAGGGGCUCGGUGAAAUAGACUUGUCUGUGAAGAUGCGGACUACCUGCACCUGGACAGAAAGACCCUAUGAAGCUUUACUGUAACUUGAAAUUGAAAUUGGACUUUAUUUGCGCAGUAUAGGUGGGAGGCGUUGAAAAUAUUCUUGCGGGAAUAUUGGAGCCAUCAGUGAGAUACCACUCUUGUAAUGUUAGAUUUCUAACUUUAUAUCAUUAUCUGGUUAAAGAACAGUUUCAGGCGGGCAGUUUGACUGGGGCGGUCGCCUCCCAAAUGGUAACGGAGGCGCACAAAGGUUUCCUCUGAACGGGUAGAAAUCGUAUCUAGAGUGUAAAGGCAUAAGGAAGCUUGACUGUGAGACCUACAAGUCGAGCAGGGACGAAAGUCGGUCUUAGUGAUCUGACGGUGCUGAGUGGAAAGGCCGUCACUCAACGGAUAAAAGUUACUCUAAGGAUAACAGGCUGAUCUCCCCCAAGAGUUCACAUCGACGGGGAGGUUUGGCACCUCGAUGUCGGCUCAUCGCAUCCUGGGGCGGUAGUACUCCCAAGGGUUGGGCUGUUCGCCCAUGAAAGCGGUACGCGAGCUGGGUUCAGAACGUCGUGAGACAGUUCGGUCCAUAUCCGGUGUAGGCGUUAGAAUAUUGAGAGGAGCCUUCUUUAGUACGAGAGGACCGAGAAGGACAUACCUCUGGUGUACCAGUUAUCGUGCCAACGGUAAACGCUGGGUAGCUAUGUAUGGAGUGGAUAACCGCUGAAAGCAUCUAAGUGGGAAGCCCACCUCAAGAUAAGUAUUCUCAC